UACGUAGGGACCAAGCGUUGUUCGGAUUUACUGGGCGUAAAGGGCGCGUAGGCGGCGUGACAAGUCACUUGUGAAAUCUCCGGGCUUAACUCGGAACGGUCAAGUGAUACUGUUGUGCUAGAGUACAGAAGGGGCAAUCGGAAUUCUUGGUGUAGCGGUGAAAUGCGUAGAUAUCGAGAGGAACACCUGCGGCGAAGGCGGGUUGCUGGGCUGAUACUGACGCUGAGGCGCGAAAGCCAGGGGAGCGAACGGG
RNAcentral lists this ribosomal RNA (253 nucleotides) under uncultured bacterium. Its description in RNAcentral is "partial 16S ribosomal RNA". It matches the Rfam family "Bacterial small subunit ribosomal RNA", at positions 524 to 776 of the family's 1533-position model. The record is from RNAcentral.